ACAAGCGGUGGAGCAUGUGAUUUAAUUCGAAGCAACGCGAAGAACCUUACCAGGCCUUGACAUGCAGAGAACUUUCCAGAGAUGGAUUGGUGCCUUCGGGAACUCUGACACAGGUGCUGCAUGGCUGUCGUCAGCCCGUGUCGUGAGAUGUUGGGUUAAGUCCCGUAACGAGCGCAACCCUUGUCCUUAGUUACCAGCACGUUAUGGUGGGCACUCUAAGGAGACUGCCGGUGACAAACCGGAGGAAGGUGGGGAUGACGUCAAGUCAUCAUGGCCCUUACGGCCUGGGCUACACACGUGCUACAAUGGUCGGUACAAAGGGUUGCCAAGCCGCGAGGUGGAGCUAAUCCCAUAAAACCGAUCGUAGUCCGGAUCGCAGUCUGCAACUCGACUGCGUGAAGUCGGAAUCGCUAGUAAUCGUGAAUCAGAAUGUCACGGUGAAUACGUUCCCGGGCCUU
Molecule: ribosomal RNA, 458 nt
Filed under: uncultured Pseudomonas sp.
Lineage: Bacteria; Pseudomonadati; Pseudomonadota; Gammaproteobacteria; Pseudomonadales; Pseudomonadaceae
Description: bacterial SSU rRNA
Rfam family: Bacterial small subunit ribosomal RNA
Source: RNAcentral